This 121-nucleotide ribosomal RNA is filed under the name Pteropus alecto (black flying fox). Lineage: Eukaryota; Metazoa; Chordata; Mammalia; Chiroptera; Pteropodidae. The record is from RNAcentral.
GUCUACGGCCAUGCCACCCUGAACAAGCCCAAUCCCAUCUGAUCUCGGAAGCUAAGCAGGGUCGGGCCUGGUGUUAGUACUUGGAUGAGAGACCACCUAGGAAGACCAGGUGCUAUAGGUG